This 539-nucleotide long non-coding RNA is filed under the name Olea europaea (common olive). Its description in RNAcentral is "long non-coding RNA (OEUR_LNC005412)". Lineage: Eukaryota; Viridiplantae; Streptophyta; Magnoliopsida; Lamiales; Oleaceae. The record is from RNAcentral.
AGACUUGACCUUUGAUUUUUUUCUCCUCUCUCUCUCUCUUCGUUUUUGGGAGAAAUUUUUCUCCCCUUCUUCUUUGGGCUGUAUAAAUUGAAAAUUAUUAUUUCUUGAUAGAUUCUUGUGAAUCUGGUGUGCUACAGUAACUUGGGUGCCAUUUGUUUGAAUAAUCUGUAGUAUAUGUUGUUGUGGCCGAUUUUGGGAGGAAGAAGUGUAGGCGUCCAGAUUUGAGAUCCUCUUUGGAUCGAUGAUUGAUCUAGCUAUUCUAUUUGGUUCUGUGUGUACUGUACUCUCUCUGUGAUGUAGAAUUGCACUAGUAGAUUGGGCUGACUCUGAGCCCCCCCAGAUUAAGUCAUUCGGGCCGAACUGGGUGAAAAUUUCUGCGUGUUCUUUUAUUUUUCUUGCACUUUAUGUUUGUGUUGUUAAAUAUUGCUGUCGGUUUAAGGCAUAAUUCCCUACAAAUCUGGUAUCAGAGCCGCUGAAGCGGUAAGAUAAGGCAUAUUUGAAUACAGUUUGAUCUCUUGUCGUAUUAACACGUUUUCUUC